GCUUGUCUCAAAGAUUAAGCCAUGCAUGUCUAAGUGUAAAUAAGUCUAUACUGUGAAACUGCGAAUGGCUCAUUAAAUCAGUUAUCGUUUAUUUGAUGAUCUCUUACUACUUGGAUAACCGUAGUAAUUCUAGAGCUAAUACAUGCAUCAAGCCCCGACUUCUGGAAGGGGUGUAUUUAUUAGAUGGAAACCAAUGCGGGGCAACCCGGUAUAUGGUGAUUCAUAAUAACUUUCGGAUCGAUUUAUCGAUGCAUCAUUCAAGUUUCUGCCCUAUCAGCUUUGGAUGGUAGGGUAUUGGCCUACCAUGGCUUUAACGGGUAACGGAGAAUUAGGGUUCGAUUCCGGAGAGGGAGCCUGAGAAAUGGCUACCACAUCCAAGGAAGGCAGCAGG
RNAcentral lists this ribosomal RNA (391 nucleotides) under Ochromonas tuberculata. RNAcentral's name for it is "partial small subunit ribosomal RNA". It matches the Rfam family "Eukaryotic small subunit ribosomal RNA", at positions 30 to 432 of the family's 1831-position model. Lineage: Eukaryota; Chrysophyceae; Chromulinales; Chromulinaceae. The record is from RNAcentral.